Molecule: long non-coding RNA, 394 nt
Filed under: Ananas comosus (pineapple)
Lineage: Eukaryota; Viridiplantae; Streptophyta; Magnoliopsida; Poales; Bromeliaceae
Description: long non-coding RNA (ACOM_LNC016911)
Source: RNAcentral
AUGGCAGCAACGCACAUCCUCACAUCGAAAUGAUUAUCGUCGAAUAAUCGUUCCGAUCCGGGUUCCCGAAAAUGUCAAAUUCGACAUCGGAACCCACCGUCGCUCAGCCGUCAUUUUUGAACCCUCGAAAUGACGCGAGUGACCAGCCAACAAGGCUCAACGACUACACAAUAUACCGUGAGGCACCAUCAGAUGAAUUCCGAACCGAAAUCCCGUUUCGUCGUCGAAUUUCGCCGAAAAACGCACCGAAAAUCAACAUCUGAUUUUCGAGAAGGCCUGGGGCCUUGGACAACCAGUCCAGAGGUCACUCGCUACCCGCAAACGCUGCCAAUAGCAACUACAAAACAUACAAUUGCAUAAAAACCCCUGCGACUACAUAAAAUCACAUCAUUUU